AGCAUGUUGCUGGAAAUGAUAGGAUUCCAUGAAUUUUGAUGGCGCAAAAGUAUUCCAUUGUGUCUGUGUACAAGAGAUUCUUUAUCCCUUCAUCUGUGGAUAGACAGGACUGGGCAGAGGACCUGAAGACAUGAGGAUGAUGCACAGGUCAAAGAGAAGAUUCUCACCAUUGAUGAUGCACACGAAAGUUGUGGGCAGAUGCCCCCUGCCCAUGGAGGUGCGCUGCAGACAGAAGCAGCAGCAGAGGCCUGGCUUCCUGAGGAAUUGCUGCCAGUUUGAGGAAGGAAGAAAGUCCCGCCUACAAUGACCACCCCCCAGCCUGGAGGAAGCUCCAUGCCAGCAGCAUGGACCAGCAUGGGAGCCAGAGUCCUGCUAAUGCUGCAGCUCAUCACCCCCACUCAGAAGCCCAGCAGCCAUUGCCACAUCCCAUUUCCAGGGCCUCCUGCCCCCGUGCCUCCACGUGCCCAUCGACUUCUCCUCCUGUUUGCCCAAAGUAGGCAUGGAGGGAAUUUUUCAAGUCCACUUUUUGUAGGUAAGUCAAAACAUUACAAAAUAACCACUGUACACCAGGUCCAAUGCCCUUCCAAACUCACUCUUCUCUGACCCUUAAACAGUUGUCCCGCAUCUCCCAGACUCCACUGUACCUUGAUCAGCACGUCCCUCUUCACUGCAGUGUCUUUUUUGCAGAGUUCUUUCAGAUAUUUUGUGCUUUUGCUAUGGACAGAGGAAAGAAAAAAGGGUAAAUUUGGGAAUCACGGGGGAGAUUUGUGAGUUCCAAUCUCUUUUGUUUGAAAACCCAGUGAAUCUCAGCUUCCUGCA
Non-coding RNA from Chlorocebus sabaeus (green monkey), 819 nucleotides. The record is from RefSeq and is a predicted model, not a curated record. NCBI's taxonomy places the organism in Eukaryota, Metazoa, Chordata, Mammalia, Primates, Cercopithecidae.